GUUAUUCCCUUUGUUGUUUUUUCUCGAGUAAAUUUCAUAAAACUACAUAUACUUUGCACGAUCUAUCACAAAACCACAGAUUUAACACAAAACCACAGAUUUAAGAACUUAUUUCACAAAACUACAAAAC
RNAcentral lists this microRNA precursor (130 nucleotides) under Oryza sativa Indica Group (long-grained rice). RNAcentral describes it as "mir-166 microRNA precursor". The record is from RNAcentral. Lineage: Eukaryota; Viridiplantae; Streptophyta; Magnoliopsida; Poales; Poaceae.